RNAcentral lists this ribosomal RNA (253 nucleotides) under uncultured bacterium. RNAcentral's name for it is "partial 16S ribosomal RNA". It matches the Rfam family "Bacterial small subunit ribosomal RNA", at positions 524 to 776 of the family's 1533-position model. The record is from RNAcentral.
UACGUAGGGCGCGAGCGUUGCCCGGAAUUAUUGGGCGUAAAGAGCUCGUAGGCGGUUUGUUGCGUCGGCUGUGAAAUCCCGAGGCUCAACCUCGGGUCUGCAGUCGAUACGAGCAAACUAGAGUGUUGCAGGGGAGACUGGAAUUCCUGGUGUAGCGGUGAAAUGCGCAGAUAUCAGGAGGAACACCGGUGGCGAAGGCGGGUCUCUGGGCAACAACUGACGCUGAGGAGCGAAAGCGUGGGGAGCGAACAGG